Molecule: long non-coding RNA, 567 nt
Filed under: Equus caballus (horse)
Lineage: Eukaryota; Metazoa; Chordata; Mammalia; Perissodactyla; Equidae
Description: lncRNA (ENSECAG00000055614.1)
Source: RNAcentral
GUUCUUUAAAAGUGUUAUAAUCCUGAAAGACAGAGACUGAGGGAAGUGUCCCAGAUAGGAGGAGACAAAGCAGACGUGAGAACUCAGUGCAGUGUGUGAGCCUGGGUUGGAGCCUGGAACAGAAGAAGAUCAGUGGGACAACUGACAAAGAUGGAAUAAGAUUCUCCAUGUGAGGGUUCACGUGGAGCAGUUGGAGCAGUGGUCCUCAACCAUGGCUGCAUGUUGGAAUCACUUGGGAGAUGUAAAACCUACUGAUGUUUGGGUCCCACCCUAGAGAUGCUGAUAAACCCAGGGGAAGUUACCUGACAUGUCUGCGAGGACACUCAAGCAGCCUUAUGGAGAGGCCAUGUGGCGAAGGUCUGAGGCCUCCUGUCAACAGCUUGGUGAGGGCGCCAUCUUGGAAACAGAUCCUCCAGCUCCAGGCAAGCCCUCAGAUGACUGUAGUCCUGAUUGACAUCUUGAUUUCAACCUCAUGGGAAUCCCUGAGCCAGAGCCAUCCAGCUCAGUCACGCCUUAACUCCUGAUCCACAGAACUGGCGAGAUAAUAAAAGUUUAUUGUUUUCAGCA